RNAcentral lists this non-coding RNA (45 nucleotides) under Schistosoma curassoni. Lineage: Eukaryota; Metazoa; Platyhelminthes; Trematoda; Strigeidida; Schistosomatidae. The record is from RNAcentral.
AUCCAGCUGACGAGUCCUAAAUAGGACGAGCCGCGCGCUCUGGAU